AUGACUGAGUGUCUUUGGCAGACUGAUUCUAAUAUUCACCAGGCAUUUUCCAAGAACGGCAUAUGUACAGGGCAUUUGUUGUUGGAAGGACUGUCACGAACAAUAAAAGCCACAGAGACGGGGAACCGAGUCAGAAAACAUCACAUGAACAGAAGGUACAAGUCACGCGGUGCACAGACGGACAGAGAGGGGUUAAUACAGCGAGGAGAAUCUGAAGCUGAGCUCUGGCAGCUGCUAAACGGCUCUGACACCUCACCAGCCUUCUCAUUCCAACCAGUAAGCCACCUUCAAAGUUGCUGUCAGAUGAAAAAAGGUUGGAGAACUGUUUAUUUAGAGAGGGGAGAGAAUUAAAUUAGAUUGAAUCUCUCAGUGACUUAAAUAAGGUUUCUUUUUUUGCUGUCCAAGCAGAAAAAAGAGCCUUCACUUUUUUGAUGUAAUUGUUUUGAAAUCCAUUUUUGCUUACCUUAAUAUUUAAUUAAAAUAUCAUUUCAAAAUAUAAUUAAAUCUUCCAGUUAAAUACGAAGGGCAGAGCGUCUAUCAAAUAUUGAAGGCUGCCAGUGAGUGUUGAGAUGUUCGUCCCGCUCCACGCGAGGUAAAGAGAGCGUAGUUACGAAUGCCAGUCGUACGAAAUGAGUUCUAGUUCAUCCGGAGCGAUGGGGCGGAACCGUGCUAUUGUUCUAAUGCAUAUUGGCUGUUGUCCCGAAGCCUCUGUCAUCAGAGCUCAAAGAUAUUGCAGAUACCACCGCUACAGGGUCCCCUCGGCUGCUGAUGGACAAACUAAUUACGCAUGAAAUCAAAUAUGAUUUGUUGAAGAGGUUCAUGAAAAAAAAAAAAAACGCAAUCUUUAUAACGGUGCCCUGACACCUCAAGUCCUUAGCUGUGUGUGCUAAUGCAGCACAAGGACACCGGGACUUAUGGGUAAUAGGAUCAAAUCAAACGGGUAAAUGAGAGUUUUGAGAUCUGAAACUAAAUUAUUUGACAUGAUCUAUGAUUUUUUAGAAUGCAAGGAAUAAUUUGCCCAAAAAAUACAUGACUUUUAUUAUUUUUCUCAAAUGACAUUAAUUCGUUGAAUUAGAACAUUAAUUAGUUCGUUGAAAUACUAUGAACUAUUUAUAUUUUGAAUUAGUUUUUGAUUUAAUUUUAAGUUAAAAUUUUCAGAAUUUUUAUGUGUUUUUGUAAAUUUUAUUAAAUCUAUUAUGUCUAUAUAAUUUUUAAUGAAUUUUUUAUUUUUUUUAUUUUAAUGCAUCAAAAUAAACUAAAUGAAAAUGUUUCUUGGGCA
This is a long non-coding RNA of Cyprinus carpio (common carp), 1279 nucleotides long. NCBI's taxonomy places the organism in Eukaryota, Metazoa, Chordata, Actinopteri, Cypriniformes, Cyprinidae. The record is from Ensembl.